This 65-nucleotide transfer RNA is filed under the name Callispa bowringii. Its description in RNAcentral is "tRNA-Gln". The record is from RNAcentral. Lineage: Eukaryota; Metazoa; Arthropoda; Insecta; Coleoptera; Chrysomelidae.
UAUAUUUUAGUAUAAAGUACAUAAGGUUUUGAUUCUUAAGGAGUGAGGUUGCUCAUAAAUAUAAU